This is a long non-coding RNA of Monodelphis domestica (gray short-tailed opossum), 1926 nucleotides long. RefSeq lists it as uncharacterized. NCBI's taxonomy places the organism in Eukaryota, Metazoa, Chordata, Mammalia, Didelphimorphia, Didelphidae. The record is from RefSeq and is a predicted model, not a curated record.
CAUGGUUCUUGUUGUCUCCCUCCUCUCUUCCCUUUCCCCUUCCAGAGUUGACAAGCAACUCCAUUGGGUGCUACAUAUAUUAUCACCCAAAACCUAUUUCCAUAUUAUUCAUUUUUAUAAUAGAAUAAUCUUUUAAAACUAAACCCCAAAUCAUAUAUCCAUGUAAAGAAGUGAUAAAUCAAAUGUUUUUCUUCUGUGAUUCUGCUCCCACAGUUCUUUCUCUAGCUGUGGAUAGUGUUCUUUCUCACAAGUCCCUCAGCAUUGUCUCAAGGUAUUGUACUUUUGAAAAGCAUAACAUGGAUUUUUUCCCCUUGUAAAACAUUCCAUGUUAGUUAAAAGUUGCCACGAUUUUAGCAAAUAGUAUUAUCUGCCUCAAACCAGAGACUAGAAGUCCAGGAAGUACUUUAUUUCAUUAAAUCCUUCAUUUUGCAGGGGAAGAAACUGAACUCCAAAGAGAUUGUGGUUUGCUCAAGUUCACAAAGUUUAUUAGUAGCAAGCAUAGAACUAGAACCCAAGUCUUCCCAAUCCUAAACCCUUUUUCCUAUUCUAGUCUGUGAUGCAAGAAAUUAGAGGACUUUAAGCUCAGCCUCAAAAUACGUGUCCAGCCUGACUUUUUGUGGUUGUGUCUCCUUAAUUCUCAAAAGAAACAAGCUGCAACAACCAAGGCCAGGGGAUUCUGUCUUUGUUAGCUGUGUCUCUUGUUUCUACUUUCAAAAAACGACAAUAAGUCUUAAGAUCUUGUGAUCUAUAAUAAUUGUGUGUGUGUGUGUGUAUGUGUGUGUGUGUGUGUGUGUGUGUGUGUGUGUGUGUGUGUGUAUUAAGCCCAUGCUAUUAUAUGCCAGGUGCUAUGCUAGGUUCUGGGAAUCUAAAGAAUGAAACAAUCCCUGCUCUCAAGGAACUUACAUUCUACAUGGGGAAAAUGAGUAUAUAUGCACAUGUUUACUUGUCAAGGGCAUAAAUCUUCAGAAUCUAUGAAAGGCAGUUGAUGAGUAAGUCUGCUCUACCAAGUUAUUUACCUGAGGCACAGGUUGGCCUUUGUAAUAGGGAAAGUAUAAAGAGAACACAAGAUGGAAAGUUGGCUUUAAGAAACUGGCGUUGGCACAUGCCAGGAACUUUGGAGGAAAUAUUCUAGAAGCUAAGGGGUAGAGAAAGAAGGGGUUAAUGGAGAGGCAACUGUCACUUGGUCCUUGGUCUUGGUCUUGGACUGUGACUUGGUCCUGGGUCUCAGUCUUAGACUGCCUCUUUGACCCUGGUCCUGCUCAAGCAGAGGGAGGAAGAGCUGCUUCUAGGAGCUUUUCCUAUCUGAAGACUGCUAGGAAAGACAGAGGACAACCCUUCAAUUGUUCCUGGUGGUUCCUGAUCAGCUGGAGAGCAGUUUGGAGCAGAUCUGGUUAUCCCUGCUGUCUGCAAAUUGGUUGAAUGAUGAAGGCAGAAGUUGUCUUUACUGCCACCUGUUGCUGUGAAGAAGAAAAGGAAGGACUAGACAGAUUCUGCUUUCUAUUGUGAAUGGUUACUAAGAAGAAUAAGUAGAGAAAACAUAUUCUAGUCUUUAUUAGAUUUGCUGCUGAGAAGAGAGAAGGUCAUCUUAUGCAUUGCUAUCUGCGGUGGGGAAAAGUCCUGAAAAGGAAGAGCUUUAAUAAUAAGGAUCAUUUUCUUUUCCAAAAAGAGUCAAUAUAAUGAAUGACUAACAAUAACAAUAAUUAUAAUGAAUUAUAAAUAAUACAUAUUAGAUAUAUAAUUGAAUAUAUAUACUAAUUAUAAUUUAUAAUUACUUAUAAUAAUGUCUAAAAGAGCAAAAAUAAUUAUUACUUCAGCUUAAGGCAUUAUCUAAGCUUGGAGCGGGAAGAGAUGGAUAUUAAGGAGUCAAGGAGUCAAUUCAACUGAGCAAAGGAAUAACUUGAAAAUAAAGCAUCAGAACAUGUAUAA